RNAcentral lists this transfer RNA (93 nucleotides) under bacterium HR26. RNAcentral describes it as "tRNA-Arg". The record is from RNAcentral.
CGGCGACUGGGGCGCCGGCGGGGCGGCCCAGGUCAUUGCGGUUGACCCGGAGACCGGCGUGCUGACCGGUGGCUCGGAUCCACGAGUCGAGGG